CUGCCUUUGAAUGAUUUAAGAUAUUUGGACAAGAGGAAAAAUAACCCUUCCUUCCCAUAAAUCCAGAGUGAAAACAAAGAGAAUGCAUAAUCCACCUGCCUUGAUUCAGGACCAUGUAAAUUACAUCAGCUGCAGUCAUAGAUUUUGUCAGCCUCCAAGAAAUCAUCCCCAUAGGACCAAAAUCCAGACACGUGGGAAGAUUACCUUUCUCUGAUGUCUUGGGAUUGAACUGAGCUAUGUGGCUAGUUACAGGCCAAUAGGCUGUUAGCAGAUGUGACAUCUAACACAACUAGGCUGCAGUUUGAAAUAAAUACCAGUGCACAGCCUCCAGAAUUCCUCCCCUGCUAAGGUGACUGAGAAGACCUCAGCUGAGAUGGUGGGAAAAAAAAAUAUUCAAGCAGCUUGGAUAACGAAGUUCCUAAAUGGAAGAACAUUGUCCCAGAGAGUCACUUGAACCCAG
Molecule: long non-coding RNA, 460 nt
Filed under: Homo sapiens (human)
Lineage: Eukaryota; Metazoa; Chordata; Mammalia; Primates; Hominidae
Description: HSALNT0353080
Source: RNAcentral